UAGGGAAUCUUCGGCAAUGGGGGCAAUCCUGACCGAGCAACGCCGCGUGAGUGAAGAAGGUUUUCGGAUCGUAAAGCUCUGUUGUAAGAGAAGAACGUGUGUGAGAGUGGAAAGUUCACACAGUGACGGUAACUUACCAGAAAGGGACGGCUAACUACGUGCCAG
This 165-nucleotide ribosomal RNA is filed under the name uncultured bacterium. Its description in RNAcentral is "partial 16S rRNA". It matches the Rfam family "Bacterial small subunit ribosomal RNA", at positions 355 to 511 of the family's 1533-position model. The record is from RNAcentral.